UCCAUUGGCAGCAAAGCUAUUCAUAUCUUUAGAUUUUCUAUCUACCUAUCCUCUAUCUAUCAUCUAUUAUCUAUCAUCUGUUAUCUAUCUACCUAUCAUCUAUCAUCUAUCUAUCUAUCUAUCUACUGUCUAUCCUCUAUCUAUCUGUCUGUCUGUCUAUCUAUCUAUCUAGCAUCUAUUAUCUAUCCUCUACCUAUCAUCUAUCUGUCUAUCUAUCUAUCUGUCUAUCUAUCUAUCUACUGUCUAUCCUCUAUCUGUCUAUCUAUCUAUCUGUCUAUCUAUCUAUCUGUCUGUCUGUCUGUCUAUCUUCUGUCUGUCUGUCUGUCUAUCUAUCUAGCAUCUAUUAUCUAUCCUCUAUCUAUCAUCUAUCAUCUAUCCUCUAUCUAUCAUCUAUUAUCUAUCAUCUGUUAUCUAUCUACCUAUCAUCUAUCAUCUAUCUAUCCUCUAUCUAUCAUCUAUUAUCUAUUAUCUGUUAUCUAUCAUCCAUCUAUCUAUCAUCUUCUGUCUAUCCUCUGUCUAUCCUCUAUCUGUCUAUCUAUCUAUCUAUCUAUCUAUCUGUCUAUCUAUCUAUCUAGCAUCUAUUAUCUAUCCUCUAUCAUCUAUCCUCUAUCAUUUAUCUAUCUAUCUAUCUAUCUAUCUAUCUAUCUACUGUCUAUCCUCUGUCUAUCCUCUAUCUAUCUAUCUAUCUGUCUGUCUGUCUGUCUAUCUAUCCUCUAUCUAUCAUCUAUCAUCUAUCUAUCCUCUAUCAUCUAUUAUCUAUCAUCUGUUAUCUAUCAUCCAUCUAUCUAUCAUCUUCUGUCUAUCCUCUAUCCUCUGUCUAUCUGUCUAUCUAUCUGUCUGUCUGUCUGUCUAUCUAUCUAUCUAGCAUCUAUUAUCUAUCCUCUAUCAUUUAUCUAUCUAUCUAUCUAUCUAUCUAUCUAUCUACUGUCUAUCCUCUGUCUAUCCUCUAUCUAUCUAUCUGUCUGUCUGUCUGUCUAUCUAUCCUCUAUCUAUCAUCUAUCAUCUAUCUAUCCUCUAUCUAUCAUCUAUUAUCUAUCAUCUGUUAUCUAUCAUCCAUCUAUCUAUCUAUCAUCUUCUGUCUAUCCUCUAUCCUCUAUCUGUCUAUCUGUCUAUCUAUCUGUCUGUCUGUCUGUCUAUCUAUCUAUCUAG
RNAcentral lists this long non-coding RNA (1149 nucleotides) under Sus scrofa (pig). RNAcentral's name for it is "lncRNA (ENSSSCG00070011352.1)". Lineage: Eukaryota; Metazoa; Chordata; Mammalia; Artiodactyla; Suidae. The record is from RNAcentral.